This 159-nucleotide small RNA is filed under the name Chrysemys picta bellii (western painted turtle). RNAcentral's name for it is "TUC338 (ENSCPBG00000013711.1)". The record is from RNAcentral. Lineage: Eukaryota; Metazoa; Chordata; Testudines; Emydidae.
UUGUCUUCAAUGGGAGCAGGGUCAGCACAACUAUAACCCAGGCACCAGCAGUGCAAGCUUUCAUACUCAGUUCCCUCCAGUGUGUCUCAUCCUUAUUCUGGAGGGACCACCAGUGGGAGGUUAAUUUAUUCUCCAUGCCCAUUCAAUUCUAGGGCAGGU